GGACCCGCACAAGCGGUGGAGCAUGUGGUUUAAUUCGAUGCAACGCGAAAAACCUUACCUACUCUUGACAUACUUGGGAGCUCUUGUAAUGAGAGUGUGCCUUAUGGAACCAAGAUACAGGUGCUGCAUGGCUGUCGUCAGCUCGUGUCGUGAGAUGUUCCGUUAAGUCGGAUAACGAGCGCAACCCUUACCCUUAUUUGCCAGCGAUUCGGUCGGGAACUAUAAGGGGACUGCCGGUGAUAAACCGGAGGAAGGUGAGGACGACGUCAAGUCAUCAUGGCCCUUACGAGUAGGGCUACACACGUGCUACAAUGGGGAAUACAGACGGACGCUAAGCCGCGAGGUGGUGCUAAUCCCAUAAACCGUGGCUCAGUUCAGAUCGUAGGCUGCAACUCGCCUACGUG
This 404-nucleotide ribosomal RNA is filed under the name uncultured bacterium. RNAcentral's name for it is "bacterial SSU rRNA". It matches the Rfam family "Bacterial small subunit ribosomal RNA", at positions 917 to 1322 of the family's 1533-position model. The record is from RNAcentral.